GGACUACUGGGGUAUCUAAUCCCGUUCGCUCCCCUGGCUUUCGCACAUCAGCGUCAGCGACCUCCCAGGACACUGCCUUCGCCAUUGGUAUUCCUCCGGAUAUCUACGCAUUUCACCACUCCACCCGGAAUUCUAUGUCCCUCUGAGGUGCUCGAGUCCCACCGUCUUCCCGGCACUCCCGUCGGUAAGCAACGAGCUGGCACCGGAAACGCGUGGGACCGCCUGCGUGCGCUUUACGCCCAGUAACUCCGGACAACGCUUGCCCCCUACGUAUUACCGCGGCUGCUGGCAC
This 292-nucleotide ribosomal RNA is filed under the name uncultured bacterium. RNAcentral's name for it is "partial 16S ribosomal RNA". The record is from RNAcentral.